CAACGAUUUAAGGGUUUGAACCAGAAUUGGACCAGCUAUAAGAGGCCAAUUUUAGUCCCCUCUCCCCUAGCCCUAAAUUAUAACAGGACUAUAACAGGACCAAAUUAUUUUUGACUUGAAUCAAAAUUAAACCGGACCGAAAUUGGACCUAACUAACUGGAAACCAUGACCAAGUCCAGCUCCAGUUCAUUCCCCGGCCACGCCCUGAACAGCCAGUUCAGGUCCGGACCAGACUGAUGGCCAAGCCCAUUAAGUUCUUAUUCACCCAGCAUUAAAAACUCAAUUCUCUAUGUAACAAUAAAUGUGUCAUCAAAUUGCCACAGCAACUUCAACUCCCACAAUUCCCAGAACACAAAUCGAAAUUUUGAGGAAGGACUGCUAAUUGGAAUAAACAUUAAGAUCCUAGUCAAUUUUUCAUAAUAAUCUACAAUGGGGAUGGCCAUAGCCAG
This 449-nucleotide unclassified non-coding RNA is filed under the name Hevea brasiliensis (rubber tree). The record is from RNAcentral. Lineage: Eukaryota; Viridiplantae; Streptophyta; Magnoliopsida; Malpighiales; Euphorbiaceae.